GGGGAUAUGGUGUAGGGGUAUCACGUCUGCUUUGCAUUGGUUCCUUUGUGGACGACGGCAUCUGCAGAAGGCCCGGGGUUCAAAUCCCCGUGUCUCCA
This 98-nucleotide transfer RNA is filed under the name Trichoderma reesei QM6a. It matches the Rfam family "tRNA". From Rfam's summary of the family: Transfer RNA (tRNA) molecules are approximately 80 nucleotides in length. Their secondary structure includes four short double-helical elements and three loops (D, anti-codon, and T loops). Lineage: Eukaryota; Fungi; Ascomycota; Sordariomycetes; Hypocreales; Hypocreaceae. RNAcentral also lists the same sequence under 1 other name. The record is from Rfam by way of RNAcentral.